Molecule: long non-coding RNA, 8689 nt
Organism: Dendrobium catenatum
Lineage: Eukaryota; Viridiplantae; Streptophyta; Magnoliopsida; Asparagales; Orchidaceae
Exons: 3
Source: RefSeq, a predicted model, not a curated record
UUUUUUUUUGAUAAUAUGCGAAGGUCAACAGUAAGUUCAGGAUCACUUGGGGGGACUGUAUGGAAGAUAACGAGCAGAAGAAACCUAGCCAAACAAAAAAAAUAACAAGAACAUAAACCUCCUUUCCAAAGAGGGGUUUAUCCAGGUCAUCAAACCAAGGAUUCAGAAGAUGCCACCAAGCCUUCCCCUUGAAAGAGAUUUCUUCGCCAAAAUUUGAAUUUUACUUCUUCAAAAGAUCAUAUGUUCUGGCAUUCUUGAUAUCUAUAAGCCUUUUAGGUAACUGAAAAGUCAAAACAUUACAUGGAACUGAAGAGGUGGUUGGUCAAAUAAAGGUCUUGGAAACUACCACAAAGUUACCUUACUUAGUCUUGGAAACUACCACAAGGUUACAUAACUACCUCAAGUUAACGCUAUCAUUUGGUGCUCUCAUUGUUCACCUUCUACCUUUCAACCUUAUGGUUGGAGGUUCCCAUGCAGUCUUUACCAAUGAAUGCCUAGCCUUCGAUGAUGAUAAACUCUUUGAGAUUGUGGACAUCAUCUAUGAGGUAUAGGUUCAAUUAACAUUGCUUAAUGAAGCAAGAACAAAUGGAAAAAUCCACCGCCAUUCCGUCUAUUCAAACUGCACCUUCCACUCACAUGCUAGAGCUCUUGGGCUUAAGUCCUUUCAAAUCCAUGCAAAUCACUAUUCCCAAAAUUCAAUGGAGAUAGCUUUGAAACAUGGAUGCAAAAAAUAUAGCACUAUCAUAGCUAUCACAAGCUCUUGGAUUUGGACAAGCUCACCUUCCAUUUGGAUGGACUGACCAAAGAGCGGUUCCUUUGGCUCACAAAGGCAAAAAGCCUCUCUUGUUAGGAAGGUUUUUUUUUUUCACCCUUCACACUAGUUUAGACUAUUUAAACAUCGAGAUUUACAAAGUGAACUUACAAAAAUGUUGCAAACAACCAUGAUUGCUGACUAUCAACUCCAAUUUGAGACAUUGUCAAAUUAAAGUAUUGUAGUUAAUAAACUAUUUAUGGAGAGUAGCUUCAAAUUGGUAUUUAGACUAGGCAUUAGAAAGGUGGUUGGCCUUCACUGUUUGACUUCUCUUGAUGAAGCAAUUACGCUAACCAAACUAAUUGAGGACAAGCUCAAUGACAAUGCCUACACUGGCUAUUCCGUCCUUCCCCCACACCCAUGCCAAUCUUGUCAUACCCAGAUACACUUGCAAUUCUUACCAGGAAAUUAACCCCAACAAUUUUCCCAUCCUAAUUGUAGACAAUAUGCUUAAUGAUCUACAUGGCACCACUACUUACUCUAAAUCAGGCCUCAAAGCCGGAUGACCAAAUAAGAAUGGCAACUCAAGACAUCUAAAAAAUGGACUCUUUAUGCAUGAUGGUCAUUAUGAAUUUUCUACAAUGCCAUUCGGCCUCAUUAAUGCACCUUCCAAAUUCCAAAUCCUCAUGAACAAAAUUCUUAAAUGAUUCUUAUGAAAACUCAUCAUUGUCUGCUUUAACGACAUCCUCAUCUAUUGUUCUACAAUAGAACUUUAUCUUAGCCAUCUUUGUACGAUCUAUGAUUGCCUAUGCCAUAAUUAGCUACUCCAACAAUCCAAAUAUUCUAUUGUCCAAGCCAACAUUUAAUAUUUAGGCCAUACGGUCUCCUUAGCAAGGACAAAAUUCAAGACAUAACCCAUUGGCCGAAGCCAACCUAUAUGAAAAACCACUAUUGUUACGUAGGCCUAGCUGGCUAUUUACCAAAAGUUAAUCCAUAUGUUAUUUCGCGUUGUAGCACCCUUAAUAAAUCUUCUACAGUGAGACUUCUUCAAAUGGUUAUCAAAAUCACAAGAAGCCAUCUUCAUAGAUGGUAACUGAAUUUUCAAAACUAUUUCUCAUGGAUGCAGAUGCUUGGGGAUUUGGCAGUAUUGCUGUCUUGCGCCUUGACGAUAAACCUAUGCCAUAUUUUAGCAAAAAGUUGAAUCACAAGACGCAUUAAGCCCAUACUUUUGCUCGCAAACUUUUUGCGAUCACCGAAGAAAAAGCCAUCAAAUGGUAUCAUUACUUGGCUUCACUAUCUGUAUUGGAGUACCUGCGAACUCAUGACACAGUGUCACAGCUAAUCUAAACUUCAAAGCAACUACUCUUUAUACUCGAACUACUUUGCUAUGAGUUUUCAAAUUUAUACAAGCCGGGCACACACAAUCAAGUGGCUGAUGCAUGUUUCACAUACUCGGUUAACAACAUAAGAUUACUCUACAUAGCUACAACCACCCAGAUUUGCAAGUACGUGAGACUUAUUUUCAAAAAAAGAAUGCAUCCUGCUGGCAGCAUUCUCUACAGGUGAUUGCAAUUUGUCACUUUGGGAUACGAAGAACUUUGCACUAAGAACGCACUUCUAUUAGCUAAUGCAAACUGAUGUCCAAAAAUUUAUCAAUUCAGGCGACAUUUGCCAAGCAAAAAGUACCGACCUCUUGCUGCAGCAAGGCCAUUACAGCCACGUCCAAUCGUAGAAGAAUUGUGUAUAAACAUCUCAUUUGAUUUUAUUGAUCUUUUGUCACCUGCUGAUAACAAAUCAACACCAUUAUGAUGGUUGUUGACUGUCUAAAUAUGCACACUUCAUUCCCUUAAAACCUAAUUUCAUUGCUCUAUGCUGCCUUCAUGGCAUCCCCAAAACCAUCGUGUUGUACUCUAAUAGCAGCUUCAUGAGUGGUUUGUAGGGAACUGUACUCAAGAAGAUGGGUACCACACUUCAAUUUACUCCUGCUCACCAUCCCGAGACUGAAAAAUAAGCGGAGGUAACUAAUCAAUCAUUGGGGCAGUACCUUAGCAAUCAAACAACUUGGCCAUAAUUUUUGCUGCGGGCAGAAUAUUCAUAUAAUUCCUGAAGAUACAUACGUAUUCUGAAAGAACUGCAUAUACAUUCCUGCAGUAAAUGUUAGAACAGUAAUAGCAGAACACACAUAUGAAUGGCAAGCAGUAGUCAUUGUAUUCAUCUUUUACAUUAACCCAAACACACUUAAUGCUUGUAUAUAUAAAUACACUUAUAGCUCAUGUACUCUUUCGCUGGUGUUCGUUUUCUGACUCCUGUCUUUCAUGUUGCACUUCUCAAACCAUAUAAACACGAUUCUAGCUUCCACUCCCUAUCACUGCCAGCAAUUCAUUGCCAGUUCACCAUAUCUCCAACUCUCGAAAUCCUGAAAACUUGCCAAUUAUGGAAAGGGGAUAAUAUAAUUACUCAACAUCUUGUGCAAUGGUAUGAUGACUUCCCUGUACAGGAAGCCACUUGGCUUUCAGACCGUUAAUUAUGAGAAGUGUUGGAAAUUAAACUUAAUUUGGCCCAUUGUUAUUUGGGUUUUCUUAUUGAUGUCCAAAAUCUAAAGAAAUCUAUUGAAGAAGACUCUAGAAAUCUAUAAAGAAGUAAUUGUUAGAAAAGUCUAGAAUAUGCAUUUAAUGUCAUUUAUGAUAGAAUAUAUAAGAAUACUCUAGAGAGUCAUCCGUAAUCAUUAGAUUGAAAUGCGUUGGCAUAACCCUAGCGGUAUACUACUAGUAUAAAUAGUGAUGAUGUCUUUGAGUUUGUAUCAAGUCAAAAAGUGAAAUAAAAUUUUUCUAGUUUGUUUUUCUUUUCUCUUUAGCCUUCUCUUUUUCCAAAAUUCAUUUUCAUUCCAACAAAGUGGUAUCAAAGCUAAGUUCUUAUUUAGACAUGGCGAAUGAAGGUAUGGCUUCCUUCCAAGUUACAUUACUGAAGACAAUAGAUUAUGAUAAUUGGAGUAUAAAGAUGAAGACACUUCUCAGAGCACAUGAUGUUUGGGAGAUUGUAGAGAAAGGCUAUGAUGAGCCAAACGAUGAGUCAAUUCUAUCCUUAACACAUAAUUAGGAGAUUCGAGAAAGAGAGACAAAAAGGCUCUCUUCCUCAUCUAUCAAGCGUUAGAUGAUGAUGGCUUUGAGAAAAUCUCAUGUGCUACAUCAGCAAGCAAGCGUGGGACAAGCUCCAAGUAUCGUACAAGGGAGAAGAGAAGAUUAAAAAUGUAUUUCUUCAAAUGUUAAGAAGAUAAUUUAACGCCUUGCAAAUGAAAAAAGGUGAGACAGUCUCCGAUUAUUUUUCAAUAGUUCUUGCCAUUUCUAAUCAACUAAAAAGAAAUAUUGAGAAGCUAGAAAAUAUGACUAUCAUUGAAAAUAUUCUUCGAUCAUUAGAAUCAAGAUUUGAUACUAUCACAACUAUCAUCGAGGAGAUAAAAUAUCUACAAGAGUUGUUCUAUGAUAGUCACAUCUUCUAGUUGUGAUACAUUCAAAUCUUGAUUCUAAUGAUCGAAGAAUCUUCUUAAUGAUAGAUACAUAUUCUAGUUCCUCAUCAUUUCUUUUUUGUUGAUUAGAAAUGUAAAGAUUUCUUGAAAAAUAAUCAAAGACCGUCUCACCAUCUUUCAUUUGCAAGUCGUAAAUUAUCUUAUUAACGUUUCAAGACAUACCUUUUUAAGCUUCUCUUCUCCAUUGUAUGAUACUUGGAGCUUCUCCCAUGCUUGCGUGGCUUAUGUAGCAUUUGAGAUUUUCUCAAAGCCAUCAUCAUCUAAUGCUUGAUAAAUAAGGAAGAGAGCUUUCUUGUCUCUCAUUCUUGAAUCUCUUAAACUAUCAUUUUGUGUUAAAAAGGUAAUUCGAGGAACCCAAAACAUCUACUUGUAAUGUGUUCUCUAAUAUAGUGAUAACGUAUAUCAAUGUACUUUCUUCUAUCUAAACAAUAUCUUGUUCACAUAUUUUGCUUGCACAUCCUUUCUUGUAAUACAUUAUCUGAUAUAGUGAUAGUGUGUAUCAAUGUGCUUGCUUCUUUAGAAACUAGAAAUUUUUAUUUCUUUAGAAAUUUUGGUAUUGCAACAACUCUUGGGUUAUUCUCAAAGCCAUCAUCAUCUAACGCUUGAUAGAUGGAGAAGAGAGCCUUCUUGUCUCUCUUUCUUGAAUCUCUUUCUUGGAAUGAAAAAAGACUUUUGAAACAAGUAAAGGCUAAAGAGAAAAGAGAAGGAAACUAUAAAUUUUAUUUCACACUUUUGGUUUGAUACAAACUUAAAGGCAGCACCACUAUUUAUACUAGUAAUACACCGUUAGGAUUAUGUCAACAUAAUUUAAUCUAAUGAUUAUAAAUGACUCUUUAGAGUAUUCUCAUAUCUUCUAUCAUAAGUGACAUUAAAUGCCUAUUAUAGACUUUUCUAACAAUUGCUCUUUAAUAAAUUUUUAGAGUCUUCUUUAAUAGAUUUCUCUCGAUUAUGAGCUUUAAUCAAAUGCCCGAAUAUCAAUAGGCUAAAUUAAGUUUAAUUUUCAACAUCCCCUCUUAAGCUUAAUUUUGUUACUCCAAACAACUUUGUCAUCCUGACAUAGUCUACAUACUUGAGUGGUAUUGUGAAGAUGUCAGCAAAUUGGUUUUGUGUCUUCACAUAUUCUGCUUGCAUUUACUUAUAAUAUAUUCUCUGAUAUAGUGAUAUCAUGUAUCAAUGCUUCUAUCAUGAAAAAUUGGAUUUUUUGCUAAUGUUAUUACAGGCUUAUUAUCAACAUGAAUCUUCGUUGCUUUUUCUUGAGGUGAAAGUUGUAUCUCCCAUGAAGAACACAUAACCAGUGGCACUCUUUAUAUCAUCCAUGUCGCCAGCCCAAUCAGUGUCGCUAUAUCCUAAAACUUUAAAACCUUUAGAUGACAAGUAGAGUAAGCCAAAGUGAAUUGUACCUUUGAUAUAACGUAAGAUUCUAUUAGCAGUCUUUAAGUGGCCGGUGGUUGGUGUCUUUAUAUAGCGACUAACAAGUCUGACAGCAUAAAUAAUAUCAGGCCUUCUUCAUGUUAAGUAGCGCAAACUGCCAACUAGGCUCUUGAAAAAUGUUGGAUCGACUCUUUCUCCUUCAUCGUGCUUUGAUACUUGACUCCACAUUUAAUAGGAGUAUUUAUAAGUUUGCAAUUAUCUAUAUUGAACUUCUUCAACAUGUCUUUUACAUAGCUCUCUUGUGUGAUAAAUAUCCCAUCUUUCAUUUGAUGGACUUCAAUGCCUAAGUAAUAGGCCAUGAGCGCAAUAUCAAUCAUCUCGAAUUCCUUAGUCAUUGCUUGUUUGAAUUUUUGAAACAUCAUUUGAUUAUUUUCGGUGAAGAUCAAAUUAUCAAUGAACAAGCAAACGAUUAAAACAACUUUAUUCUUAUUCUUGAUGUAAAGAGCAUGUUCAUAAACCCUUUGACUUGCAGGUACUUAUCUAUCCGAUUAUUCCAUGCUCUUGAUGCUUAUUUCAACCCAUAGAGCACCUUUUUUAACUUUAAAACUUUAUCUUCUUGCCUUUUAGCUUCGUAUCUUUAUGGUUGUUGAAUAUAUUUCUUCUAGAACUCCAUUCAAGAAGGGUGAUUUUACAUCCAUUUGAUGUAUCUUCCAUUUAUUUUGAGCUGCCAAGGAGAUGAUUAUUCUAAUUAUUUUUAAACGAGCAACAUGAGCAAAUACCUUAUUAUAGUCGAUGCCAGCUCUUUGACUGUAGCAUUUUGCCACUAAUUUUGAUUGUAUAGCUUGUAUCAUUUUGAGUUGUUGUCGUAGCCAAUGAAAAUAAACUUUUGACUUUUGUCAUUUAACUUACUUCUUUAAAUGUCAGAUAUGUGUACAUGAGCUAUGCUUCCAAAAAACUUUUUAGUUAGAGAUGUCGGGCUUUCUUCCGCUCCAUGCUUCUUGUGGAGUCAUUCCCCACACACUUCUUGUUUGUGAACGGUUGGCCAAAUAAACUGCACAUGAGACUGCUUCUUCCCAAAAUUCCUUUGACAGCCUCUUGCUUUUGAGCAUACUCCUUGCCAUGUCAAGGAUGGUUCUGUAUUCCCCUUUGCUACAUUUUGUUGAGGGGAUCCUGGGAUAAUUAGAGAUUGACGUAUCCCAUUGGCAUCACAUAAUUCUUGAAAUUCUUUUAAAUGAAUUCUCCUCGAUCAGAUCACAUAGCCUUGAUCUUGAUUCCACUUUCUUUCUCGACGGUGGCCUUCAAUUUAUUAAAUACGCAAAAUACUUCUAAUUUUUGCUUCAAAAAGUACACCCAUAUUUUUCAUGAGAAAUCAUCAAUGAAGAGAAGAAAGUAGUUGCUCUUGCUGAGUGAGCUUGACUUUAUUGGUCCACAGACAUUUGUAUUUAUGAGCUCCAAUGACUUUCGUGCUCUCGAACUUCAUUCACUUGGAAAACUUUUCCUGAAAUACUUUCCAAGUAGACAUGCUUCACAUAUUUGAUCGGGAUGUUUGAUGCAAGAUGUCGCACCAUCUCUUUCUUGGAAAGCAACUUCAAUCCUCCAAAGUUGAGAUGCUUAAAUCGGAGGUGUCAUAAUCAAGAAACAUCGUUAUGACAAGCUUUGAGGCAUUUGACAAUAUCAUUUUGAAUGUUUAGCUUCUUGACAUUGAUACUUUUGCAAUUAAAAUACCAAUAAUAUCUUUUAAGAGGAGAUAAUUAUUUUCUUAAAUGAAUAUUAUUUCCUUUCUCCAAAAGUUGUCCCAAACUUAAAAUAUUACUCUUCAUAUUUGACACAAAAUAGACAUUGGAAAUAUAUUGAUGCUUCAUGUUCUUCAAGCGAAUAAGGAUAUUACCUUUGCCUUUUACUUCUAUUUUUGAGUCAUCUCCGAAAGAUACAUUGCCGCCAACUGAUUCAUCAAGCGUAUUAUGAUAGAAGCAUUUUACAAGUACAACAAUACUUUUGGGUGCUCUAGUUUCUUUCUCACGAAGAAAUCCUUCGAGGAAUCAAAUGCACUACAAGUACAGCAAUUAUGAUAGAAGUAAGCACAUUGAUCACACUAUUACUAUAUUAGAGAAUGCAUUACAAGGACGAAAGUGCAAGCGGAAUAUGUGAAGUCACAAGACUAAAUUACUGAUAUCUUCACCAAGCCACUCAAGUAUGAAAACUAUAUCAAGAUGAGAAAUUUGCUUGGAGUUACAAAAUUACGUUUAAGGGGAUGUUAGAAAUUAAACUUAAUUUGACCCAUUGUUAUUUGGGCUUUUGAUUGAAGCUGAUAAUCUAGAGAAAUCUAUUAAGAAGUCUCCAGAAAUCUAUUAAGGAGUAAUUGUUAGAAAAGUGUAGAAUAGGCAUUUAAUAUCAUUUAUGAUAAAAUAUAUGAGAAUACUCUAGAGAGUCAUUUGUAACCAUUAUAUUGAAAUGUGUUGGCAUAAUCCUUGCGAUGUACUACUACUAUAAAUUGUAGUGGUAUCUUUGAAUUUGUAUCAAGCCAAAAAAUGAGAAAUAAAAAUUUCUAGUUUCUUUCUCUUUUUCUCUUUAUCCUUCUCUUGUUCCAAAAUCCUUUUUCAUCCCAACAAGAAGCCUAUACCAAACUCUUAUUCGAGGAAAUGUCGUUCUUCCACAGCAAAUGGAGAAUAAUAUGUAGUAUGUGCAUCGUCAGUAACAAGGAGAAUACACCCACCGUGGAACAAAUUAGCGCCACUCCACUGUGCAUUUGACGAUGACAAAGUGUCCAGUGUGCACCAACGUGGCUUAAAGAUUAUGCUAUUGAAAAUGGCUAGCAGAGGUGGAUGACGUUGGGUAAUAAUAAAAACAGAUCUCUAUUAUAUUAGGAAGAAGUUUGUUAUAACAGGGAAGCUUGUCUUCUUUCGUUUGUGAAGUUUGAUUUUGCUUAUUAUUACUAAAAUCUUGCGAGUUCUUUUUAUUGGCUAGGAUUAGACCAGGAAUGAGGAUAUCUGACUGUAACAGAAGAAUAGAAAAUAAUGAAUAUCGAAACUUCUUAUUAUUUUGUA